RNAcentral lists this long non-coding RNA (335 nucleotides) under Nicotiana benthamiana. RNAcentral describes it as "long non-coding RNA (NBEN_LNC022169)". Lineage: Eukaryota; Viridiplantae; Streptophyta; Magnoliopsida; Solanales; Solanaceae. The record is from RNAcentral.
AUGCUAAACAAGCAGCGCUUGACAUGGGAAAGGUUCUUGACAUUGAAAUUCAAGAGGAAGGCGAAAAAUUGGCCAAAUUUAAAGCAGCCAAUGAGUACCCUUUACUCUCCAAUGAGUUCUUCAUCCGCCACGGACAUCAUUUAAUAGGUACAAUGAGUACUUGGUUCUUGUUGGACAUAGCUUUCUACAGCCAGAAGGAGAAAAAUUGGCCAAAUUUAAAGCAGCCAAUGAGUACCCUUUACUCUCCAAUGAGUUCUUCAUGCGCCACGGACUUCACUUAAUAGGUACAAUGACUACUUGGUUCUUGUUGGACAUAGCUUUCUACAGCCAAAACC